CCGUGUUUCACUAGUGUUUAAGAUUAGUUUCAUAUAUCGUUGGAUUUUAUUUGGAGUGGACAAUUCUCACUGAUUAAAACUUUUAUUCUCUUUGUAUCGAAGCUUUGGAAAUUGAAGAUGCUUUGGAAAAUGGGUAUAUACAAUAGACCAAUAUUUUUGUCAUUUUCCCUGAAUAAUUUUAUAUGUGACCUAAAUUUCAAAUUUUACUACCUGUUAUUGUUUACUCAAUUAUUUUUACGUGUUUUUAACUAUCAAUAAAGUUUCAAACAUACAAUAAAAUACGAUUUAUCCAGCUUAGAACAAAUUUAAUAUAUAACCUUGUAAUAUAUUGAAUAUUCCCAGAACAUCCUGUAUCUUAUUUCAAUCUGUUUUAUAAGACACGUAUGAAUUCACUUCAAUAUCUAUUUGCCCCGUAAAAUAUUCUCAUUUCAAGAUAGAGGCGGAUGAGAAAUGCAGGUGUAGGUGCAAUGCUGACUGGAAUCAUAAAUAGCGGAGCUGAUAUUAUUAUGAGCUGUGUAUUGAACGUGUUACAAAACAAGAGACUGUAUUAGACUUUAAAUAACUUACAUUAUAUAAGAUGAAGGAUCGGCUUUGAUAA
Long non-coding RNA from Danaus plexippus (monarch butterfly), 598 nucleotides. RefSeq lists it as uncharacterized. The transcript is spliced from 2 exons. NCBI's taxonomy places the organism in Eukaryota, Metazoa, Arthropoda, Insecta, Lepidoptera, Nymphalidae. The record is from RefSeq and is a predicted model, not a curated record.